Molecule: unclassified non-coding RNA, 853 nt
Filed under: Hevea brasiliensis (rubber tree)
Lineage: Eukaryota; Viridiplantae; Streptophyta; Magnoliopsida; Malpighiales; Euphorbiaceae
Source: RNAcentral
AGUUGAGUUGAGUUGAGUUGUUAUGAUGCCCUUGUGCCAUUGCCCUUGUUUGUCGAUUUUUGGAACCCUGCACUCUAAUAGCCACGGUCAAUAUAGAAUAAAUAUUCUGUUUUCUAUGCUAGUUGACCUUUAGUUAUUAUUAUUUUUCUUCAAUCUUGCAGUUGCACAAUAUGUAGCUAAAAUGUGAUUAUAUCUGGCUAGAUGCAUUUGAUACUUGAUAGCUACAAGCACUAAGGGGGACUUUGUGAGAUCCUUGCAACUCCUGAUCUUGUUGAAUUUAUCUGAAAUAGGGGUUUUGGCCAUGGUUAAAGUUGCCUUGGAUUGACUUUAGGAUGUUAAGUCGUGUUAUAAACUUAAAAUUAUCCUACAAGUCAUUUUUGCCAGCCUUUGAAAUUGAAGGUGGUUAAACUGGACAAUUGUUUUGUGUUAUGGUCUUGCUGAUGUUAUUAUGUCUAGAAGAGAACUUUUUCCUCUAAACUGUUGGAAAUCUAGUUUUGUUAUUUGAGCCUUUAUGUCAGGUUGGGCUUCCAAGUUCCAAACGCCUAAAUCUUGAAGGUUGGUGCUGAUGGGAUAAGUUUUAAUGUCAAUGGUUUAGUAGAGUGCUUGACUGGAAUGGGCAUUGGAUCAAAGUUCAUCUAAUGCUAUUUGCUAAAUGUUUCUGAAGUAGCCAAGGCAUAGCCUGUGUGCCUUUUUGUAUUUAUUUAUGUCAAAUAGAGUUUGAGAUGAAUUUCAAUAAUAUUCUUAAAAUCUGAAAAAACUAUAAAUUUGGAAACUUGAUUUUUGUCGCGAGUGUUUAUAAUAUGUUUGUAGGCACGUGGAGAGACAUUGAACUAACUACAACUAAUACUUUUAU